Molecule: ribosomal RNA, 468 nt
Filed under: uncultured bacterium
Lineage: Bacteria
Description: partial 16S ribosomal RNA
Rfam family: Bacterial small subunit ribosomal RNA
Source: RNAcentral
GACGAACGCUGGCGGCGUGCUUAACACAUGCAAGUCGAACGGAAAGGCCCUGCUUUUGUGGGGUGCUCGAGUGGCGAACGGGUGAGUAACACGUGAGUAACCUGCCCUUGACUUUGGGAUAACUUCAUGAAACUGGGGCUAAUACCGGAUAGGAGCUCCUGCUGCAUGGUGGGGGUUGGAAAGUUUCGGCGGUUGGGGGUGGACUCGCGUCGUAUCAGGUUGUUGGUGGGGUAGUGGCUUACCAAGGUUUUGACGGGUAGCAGGCCUGGGAGGGUGACCGGCCACGUUGGGCUUGGAAUACGGCCCAGACCCCUCCGGUACGGAGCGGUGGGGAAUAGUGCACAAGGGGCGGAAGCCUGAUGCAGCACCGCCGCGUGCGGGAUGACGGCCUUCGGGUUGUAUUCCGCUUUCGCCUGUGACGAAGCGUGAGUGACGGUAAUGGGUAAAGAAGCACCGGCUAACUACGUG